RNAcentral lists this ribosomal RNA (468 nucleotides) under uncultured bacterium. Its description in RNAcentral is "partial 16S ribosomal RNA". It matches the Rfam family "Bacterial small subunit ribosomal RNA", at positions 28 to 507 of the family's 1533-position model. The record is from RNAcentral.
GACGAACGCUGGCGGCGUGCUUAACACAUGCAAGUCGAACGGAAAGGCCCUGCUUUUGUGGGGUGCUCGAGUGGCGAACGGGUGAGUAACACGUGAGUAACCUGCCCUUGACUUUGGGAUAACUUCAGGAAACUGGGGCUAAUACCGGAUAGGAGCUCCUGCUGCAUGGUGGGGGUUGGAAAGUUUCGGCGGUUGGGGAUGGACUCGCGGCUUAUCAGCUUGUUGGGGGGGUAGUGGCUUACCAAGGCUUUGACGGGUAGCCGGCCUGAGAGGGUGACCGGCCCCAUUGGGACUGGGAUGCGGCCCAGACUCGUACGGGAGGCAGCAGUGGGGAAUAGUGUACAAUGGGCGGAAGCCUGAUGCAGCAACGCCGCGUGGGGGAUGACGGCCUUCGGGUUGUAAACCGCUUUCGCCUGUGACGAAGCGUGAGUGACGGUAAUGGGUAAAGAAGCACCGGCUAACUACGUG